RNAcentral lists this long non-coding RNA (429 nucleotides) under Pogona vitticeps (central bearded dragon). RNAcentral's name for it is "lncRNA (ENSPVIG00000007829.1)". Lineage: Eukaryota; Metazoa; Chordata; Lepidosauria; Squamata; Agamidae. The record is from RNAcentral.
AAAACUCCAUGAUGGAGGGGUGUUUCUCUGGGUUUGUCUGGGGACACCCAGAAACCCGGAUACGGCCAAUCCCCAUUCUAUUUAAGGGUUAAAUGCAUUGAGUUGUGAUUCCUAGAAGGGACAUGGUGAGUCCUCCCUAGUACUGUCCUCCACAAAGAAAAGUCCCUUCCUGUCCCUUUUCCCACCACCACCACCCUUAAAUCCUCCCGUGGGAAGUAGGACUUCAGCUCCUACGAGAGGAGCCUGGGCUGGGUCUCUCCCUUUCCGGAUGAGAUGGGCCUUGAAGUGUGAAGAGGCAGAAAGCAUUGGAACUCAUCCUGGAACAUUUACACCACGUUAAACAAUGAAUCUUGGAGAAAUAUUCCAUCAGAAAGGCAUAUCAAGACAUCAAGAUAUAAAAUAAAACAAAAAAAUACCGAUAAAUCUGCA